RNAcentral lists this long non-coding RNA (1621 nucleotides) under Cyanistes caeruleus (blue tit). RNAcentral describes it as "lncRNA (ENSCCEG00000011131.1)". Lineage: Eukaryota; Metazoa; Chordata; Aves; Passeriformes; Paridae. The record is from RNAcentral.
UCUGGAGAGACUAAAGGGGAACAGAGGACAGGCAGACUCACUAUUCUACAAAAUAAUUUCCAGCCCUGACCUGAACUGCUCCUACAUCUCCUCUGUGCUUGGAAGAAACCUCGAACCACACCAUGACUGCUUCCCAGUCUCUUGCACCCAUCCCUAUAGCUGUGUGGUCACCACUGCCAGGCAAGGGGAGACUACAGAAGUCACCAUGGCCCUUGGGCUGCCCCUCUUGCCUGUUUCACACUCAAAUGUGGAGAUGAGCUGGUGCCUUCAUGUUCUCCUGGGGAUGGACACAUGCUUCUACUUCAGCUUUGGCAGCCCAUUGCAGUGGGAGUUUCCCAGCGUACAAGAUUUAUCCUUGCCACCCCCUGCCCUGUUUGUUUGGAGUCAGGAAUAAGAUCUCAACUGUAUUUCUGAGGCCUUUAUCAGAGAAUAAUGUUUUUCUCACUGCUGGCAGGGCUGGAAAAUUAUAGUUGCCACUGUAGUCAGGAGGGGUUUGGAGAUACUCAGAGCCACUCUAGAUGGACCCAGAGGUGUGGGAUGCCUAACUGGGGAGUCUGAAAGUCAGACAUCUGAAAUCGAGCUGGUCACCCUAGUCACUUAUUUAUACAUAAGAUAAAGCUCUCAUUUCACAUGUUUUCCUCUGGCACAGAAGACCCAGGUGGUUCAGCUGUUAAGUGAUUUAUACUGCAGCCACCAGUGAGUCAAAGUCUUCCAGAGAUGAUGAGUUUGGCAAAAUUUACUUUUGAUCUUUCGUCAGACUGAUAAACUGCCUUUGCAGGGAAGGCUGACCUCAGGAGUGCUCAGGAGUGCAUGGCAUUAAAAUCCUUCUGCUAUUUAUUGCCCUGCUGACUGAUGGCAGAGAAAACACAUGGUGAUUUCUGCUUUGGUUUCCUCAGUUGCACAACACCCUACUAGUUCUUUAGGAUUACAGUAGCUGAGUUCUUUGAUGUUGCAACUUGAGGCUAUUGUAGGUUUGGUUUACUCUAUGGUUUUAACUCUUCUGGAAGGCUCCAUGCAGAUUACAAGAGCAGGAUUACUUCAGGAACCCUUCUCUCUGAUGAGAAAAUGUGCUCAGCAGGCCCUGCCUCUUCAGGCAGAAGACAAUAGGUUUGCUCGGCAGUAUCUGAAUGUUUAUCAGCCAUUUCAAGCAGCCUGCAAACACCAAAGGACUGAGCUACCCUGCCAGAAAGCUCUUCCUGUGGCAUCACGUGUAAGUUUUAUCCAUUAACGUACAGCUAGAUGUGGUGCUAGGAAGCCAUAAACAUCUAUGGGCAUCACAAGUGAAAAAGGGCCCCAAAUUGUUUCCCAGACAGCAUAGAGAUUUCUGGAAAACCUACUCCAAAUGUAACCCAGGUAGAGUGCCUGCUGCUGCACUGCUUCCCAGUGUAACCCUUACUGCUUUGAAGGGUGGAUAGGCUGAAAGACAGGGUAAAUAUGCUGCCCUGUUUAGGUCUUUGUAACUUUUGGAUGGAUUAAACCAUGCUCAGCACGUUCUGCCUCGCCCUGCCCCUCCUCCUGUAUUGACUUCCUUCAUGUGGGGUAGGAGAGCUUUUGUUCACCUGGGAGCCAUAACCCUGGCCCCCCCUGCCCUGCCUGCCUUGGAGCUCAGCCCAUGCACUGC